CUACGGGGCGCUCCAGUGAGGAAUAUUGCACAAUGGGGGGAACCCUGAUGCAGCAACGCCGCGUGGAGGAUGACGCAUUUCGGUGUGUAAACUCCUUUUAUAUGUCAAGAAAAUGACGGUAGCAUAUGAAUAAGCACCGGCUAACUCCGUGCCAGCAGCCGCGGUAAUACGGAGGGUGCAAGCGUUACUCGGAAUCACUGGGCGUAAUGGACGCGUAGGCGGGUUGGAAAGUCAGGUGUGAAAUCCUACAGCUUAACUGUAGAACUGCACUUGAAACUUCUAAUCUAGAGUAUGGGAGGGGGAGAUGGAAUUCGUGGUGUAGGGGUAAAAUCCGUAGAUAUCACUAGGAAUACCUAAAGCGAAGGCGAUCUCCUGGAACAUUACUGACGCUAAGGCGUGAAAGCGUGGGGAGCAAACAGGAUUAGAUACCCCCGUAGUC
RNAcentral lists this ribosomal RNA (439 nucleotides) under uncultured bacterium. Its description in RNAcentral is "partial 16S ribosomal RNA". It matches the Rfam family "Bacterial small subunit ribosomal RNA", at positions 339 to 795 of the family's 1533-position model. The record is from RNAcentral.